RNAcentral lists this small RNA (109 nucleotides) under Caenorhabditis elegans. Its description in RNAcentral is "Unclassified non-coding RNA F44G4.9". Lineage: Eukaryota; Metazoa; Nematoda; Chromadorea; Rhabditida; Rhabditidae. The record is from RNAcentral.
GUUACACAACGAUCGAUGUAGGUUCGACCAGUUGUUGGAGUACGGUAGAAGUAAUCUGGAAUUGGCUUAUCCCCCUUCGAGAUGGUACCGCGGUAGUCUCCAUCAUAGG